AAGGAGCUUUAAAAACAAACCAUUUCUGAAUGAACCCAGAGAGACAGUUUUCUUUGGUGGUCACUGUUGUUUGCUGUAACUGGUCUGCAACAUUUUGGAAAUAUACCAAU
RNAcentral lists this small nucleolar RNA (110 nucleotides) under Carlito syrichta (Philippine tarsier). The record is from RNAcentral. Lineage: Eukaryota; Metazoa; Chordata; Mammalia; Primates; Tarsiidae.